This is a non-coding RNA of Pelobates cultripes (western spadefoot toad), 320 nucleotides long. The record is from the annotation of a GenBank genome assembly. NCBI's taxonomy places the organism in Eukaryota, Metazoa, Chordata, Amphibia, Anura, Pelobatidae.
GGAAGACACUUUUCCUGUAUCAUACUCAUGAACAAGUGGUAAAAGGAUGUAAACAAAGACCAUAGAAAUAAGUUCUACAUAGAAACAAGUUCUACAUUGCAUUGGAACAAACAUGAGAGAUUAGCUAAUCACAGACAAUAACCUAUAGAUGAAAGUUUUAAAGUCCUAUUAAGAUAAAAUUAAUACAUGCAUUCAAUGUUGUACCUUGGGGGACACUAGGGCACUCCUGGCACCAGAUUUGAUCACAUGACAGGAGGCUUCAUAUUUUGCAUAACUUUCUUUAUUUCAUGCCUCCAGCAGCACAAGUCAAUCAAAAAACU